UGGAGAGUUUGAUCCUGGCUCAGAGUGAACGCUGGCGGUAGGCCUAACACAUGCAAGUCGAACGGCAGCACAGAGGAGCUUGCUCCUUGGGUGGCGAGUGGCGGACGGGUGAGGAAUACAUCGGAAUCUACUCUGUCGUGGGGGAUAACGUAGGGAAACUUACGCUAAUACCGCAUACGACCUACGGGUGAAAGCAGGGGAUCUUCGGACCUUGCGCGAUUGAAUGAGCCGAUGUCGGAUUAGCUAGUUGGCGGGGUAAAGGCCCACCAAGGCGACGAUCCGUAGCUGGUCUGAGAGGAUGAUCAGCCACACUGGAACUGAGACACGGUCCAGACUCCUACGCCGAGGCAGCAGUGGGGAAUAUUGGACAAUGGGCGCAAGCCUGAUCCAGCCAUACCGCGUGGGUGAAGAAGGCCUUCGGGUUGUAAAGCCCUUUUGUUGGGAAAGAAAUCCAGCUGGCUAAUACCCGGUUGGGAUGACGGGUUCCCAAAGUAGA
Molecule: ribosomal RNA, 496 nt
Filed under: Stenotrophomonas maltophilia
Lineage: Bacteria; Pseudomonadati; Pseudomonadota; Gammaproteobacteria; Lysobacterales; Lysobacteraceae
Description: bacterial SSU rRNA
Rfam family: Bacterial small subunit ribosomal RNA
Source: RNAcentral